RNAcentral lists this ribosomal RNA (173 nucleotides) under uncultured Candida. RNAcentral describes it as "partial 26S ribosomal RNA". It matches the Rfam family "Eukaryotic large subunit ribosomal RNA", at positions 62 to 239 of the family's 3401-position model. The record is from RNAcentral. Lineage: Eukaryota; Fungi; Ascomycota; Saccharomycetes; Saccharomycetales.
AAACCAACCGGGAUUGCCUCAGUAACGGCGAGUGAAGCGGCAAAAGCUCAAAUUUGAAAUCUGCGUAAGCCGAGUUGUAAUUUGAAGAUGGCUACUUUGGUAAUGGCUCUCGUCUAUGUUCCUUGGAACAGGACGUCACAGAGGGUGAGAAUCCCGUGCGAUGAGAUGUCCAU